AGAUUGAACGCUGGCGGCAUGCCUUACACAUGCAAGUCGAACGGCAGCACGGGAGCAAUCCUGGUGGCGAGUGGCGAACGGGUGAGUAAUAUAUCGGAACGUGCCCAGUCGUGGGGGAUAACGCAGCGAAAGCUGUGCUAAUACCGCAUACGAUCUAUGGAUGAAAGCGGGGGAUCGCAAGACCUCGCGCGAUUGGAGCGGCCGAUAUCAGAUUAGCUAGUUGGUGGGGUAAAAGCCUACCAAGGCGACGAUCUGUAGCUGGUCUGAGAGGACGACCAGCCACACUGGAACUGAGACACGGUCCAGACUCCUACGGGAGGCAGCAGUGGGGAAUUUUGGACAAUGGGCGAAAGCCUGAUCCAGCCAUGCCGCGUGUGUGAAGAAGGUCUUCGGAUUGUAAAGCAACUUUAAGUUGGAGGAAGGCAAUUAACCUAAUACGUUAGUGUUUAGACGUUACGACAAGAAUAAGCACCGGCUAACU
Molecule: ribosomal RNA, 481 nt
Filed under: uncultured soil bacterium
Lineage: Bacteria
Description: bacterial SSU rRNA
Rfam family: Bacterial small subunit ribosomal RNA
Source: RNAcentral